AAAACGACUCUCGGCAACGGAUAUCUCGGCUCUUGCAUCGAUGAAGAACGUAGCGAAAUGCGAUACUUGGUGUGAAUUGCAGAAUCCCGUGAACCAUCGAGUCUUUGAACGCAAGUUGCGCCCGAAGCCAUUUGGUUGAGGGCACGCCUGCCUGGGUGUCGUGA
Molecule: ribosomal RNA, 164 nt
Filed under: Memecylon lateriflorum
Lineage: Eukaryota; Viridiplantae; Streptophyta; Magnoliopsida; Myrtales; Melastomataceae
Description: 5.8S ribosomal RNA
Rfam family: 5.8S ribosomal RNA
About the family: 5.8S ribosomal RNA (5.8S rRNA) is a component of the large subunit of the eukaryotic ribosome. It is transcribed by RNA polymerase I as part of the 45S precursor that also contains 18S and 28S rRNA.
Source: RNAcentral